Molecule: ribosomal RNA, 1452 nt
Filed under: Staphylococcus aureus
Lineage: Bacteria; Bacillati; Bacillota; Bacilli; Caryophanales; Staphylococcaceae
Description: partial 16S ribosomal RNA
Rfam family: Bacterial small subunit ribosomal RNA
Source: RNAcentral
UGCAGUCGAGCGAACGGACGAGAAGCUUGCUUCUCUGAUGUUAGCGGCGGACGGGUGAGUAACACGUGGAUAACCUACCUAUAAGACUGGGAUAACUUCGGGAAACCGGAGCUAAUACCGGAUAAUAUUUUGAACCGCAUGGUUCAAAAGUGAAAGACGGUCUUGCUGUCACUUAUAGAUGGAUCCGCGCUGCAUUAGCUAGUUGGUAAGGUAACGGCUUACCAAGGCAACGAUGCAUAGCCGACCUGAGAGGGUGAUCGGCCACACUGGAACUGAGACACGGUCCAGACUCCUACGGGAGGCAGCAGUAGGGAAUCUUCCGCAAUGGGCGAAAGCCUGACGGAGCAACGCCGCGUGAGUGAUGAAGGUCUUCGGAUCGUAAAACUCUGUUAUUAGGGAAGAACAUAUGUGUAAGUAACUGUGCACAUCUUGACGGUACCUAAUCAGAAAGCCACGGCUAACUACGUGCCAGCAGCCGCGGUAAUACGUAGGUGGCAAGCGUUAUCCGGAAUUAUUGGGCGUAAAGCGCGCGUAGGCGGUUUUUUAAGUCUGAUGUGAAAGCCCACGGCUCAACCGUGGAGGGUCAUUGGAAACUGGAAAACUUGAGUGCAGAAGAGGAAAGUGGAAUUCCAUGUGUAGCGGUGAAAUGCGCAGAGAUAUGGAGGAACACCAGUGGCGAAGGCGACUUUCUGGUCUGUAACUGACGCUGAUGUGCGAAAGCGUGGGGAUCAAACAGGAUUAGAUACCCUGGUAGUCCACGCCGUAAACGAUGAGUGCUAAGUGUUAGGGGGUUUCCGCCCCUUAGUGCUGCAGCUAACGCAUUAAGCACUCCGCCUGGGGAGUACGACCGCAAGGUUGAAACUCAAAGGAAUUGACGGGGACCCGCACAAGCGGUGGAGCAUGUGGUUUAAUUCGAAGCAACGCGAAGAACCUUACCAAAUCUUGACAUCCUUUGACAACUCUAGAGAUAGAGCUUUCCCCUUCGGGGGACAAAGUGACAGGUGGUGCAUGGUUGUCGUCAGCUCGUGUCGUGAGAUGUUGGGUUAAGUCCCGCAACGAGCGCAACCCUUAAGCUUAGUUGCCAUCAUUAAGUUGGGCACUCUAAGUUGACUGCCGGUGACAAACCGGAGGAAGGUGGGGAUGACGUCAAAUCAUCAUGCCCCUUAUGAUUUGGGCUACACACGUGCUACAAUGGACAAUACAAAGGGCAGCGAAACCGCGAGGUCAAGCAAAUCCCAUAAAGUUGUUCUCAGUUCGGAUUGUAGUCUGCAACUCGACUACAUGAAGCUGGAAUCGCUAGUAAUCGUAGAUCAGCAUGCUACGGUGAAUACGUUCCCGGGUCUUGUACACACCGCCCGUCACACCACGAGAGUUUGUAACACCCGAAGCCGGUGGAGUAACCUUUUAGGAGCUAGCCGUCGAAGGUGGGACAAAUGAUUGGGGUGAAGUCGU